This is an unclassified non-coding RNA of Cricetulus griseus (Chinese hamster), 100 nucleotides long. Ensembl annotates it as predicted gene, 27568. Lineage: Eukaryota; Metazoa; Chordata; Mammalia; Rodentia; Cricetidae. The record is from Ensembl.
CGGGUAUACUGUUCCCCCGGCCUGCAGAAUGAGUUCCUUUGUGGGGCACUUGGUCCAUUAAUUAGAAAAUUGCCUUCGUCUUAGAUGCUGGUGCUUCAGC